GCGGCAACGCACAGAAAAACAAGCCCUAGCCUCUUCCUCUCGUCGCCUCCCUCCAGCGAGCCCUGUCCCACCUCCCUCCGACGUUCCAGCCCCCGGCGACCUCCCUCCCACGGCCUCCAGCAAGCCCCGUCCCCCCUCCCUCCCGCGGCGACCUCCAACGACCUCAGCGUCUCCUCCCUCCAGCGAGCCCUGUCCCCCCUCCCUUCGACGUUCCAGCCCUCGGCGACCUCCCUCCCACGGCCUCCGGCGCCCGCGGCGAACUCCAACGGUCUCAGCGUCGCCUCCCUCCCUCCAGCGCCGUCUCCAGCGCCCGCGGCGACCUCCAGCGGCCUCAGCGUCGCCUUCCUCCCUCCAGCGCCACUUCAGCGACCUCCAGCGUUCACGGCGACCUCCAGCGGCCACCUCCCCGCGACCUCCAGCGUCCGCAACGACCUCCAGCGGCCCCCUCCCUGCGACCUCCCUCCCGCAGCCUCCAACGACCUCCCUCUCGCUGCCUCCAGCGACCUACAGCCGCCUCCGUCCCGUGGCCUCCAGCGACUUCCCUCACCUCCAGCCGUCUCCCUCCCUGGAUUAGGCUUUAUUCUACUGUGCUUUGCGUUGCUCGCGUGAGAUGAUUGCCUCUGAUGAUGGAUCCAGGAGCUUGCUGCUUGCUGUUAAUAGAAGGCUCACUGCACUAUCAUUCCAUAUCAGAGUACUUUUGGGUUGACAUGAAGAAGAUCAAUGAGAUUUAUCGCUACAAGACUGAAGAAUACUCCCAAGGUGCUACUAACAAAUUCAACAUCUAUCCGGAGCAAAUUCCUAGUUGGCUAGUUGAUUGGAUUCCUGAAAAAGGUGGCUACUUGAUUGGGAACCUUCAGCCAGCUCACAUGAAUUUCUGGUUCUUCUCACUGGGUAAUCUAUGGGCUAUCACUUCAUCUUUACCCACUCCGAGACAAGCCGAGGAGAUUCUGAACCUGAUGGAGAAAAAAUGGAAGGAUUUCAUUGGAAUAUACCUCUGAAGAUAUGUUAUCCUGCGUUAGAAUAUGAAGAAUGGCACAUAAUUACUGGAAGUGAUCCGAAAAAUGCGCCUUAGUCAUAUCAUAAUGGUGGACCAUGACCUACCCUACUAUGGCAGUUCACAUUGGCUUGCAUCAAGAUGGGCCGGCCUGAAUUAGCUCGUAAAGCUGUCUCAGUAGCUGAGAAAAGGCUUUCGAAUGAUCAAUGGCCUGAAUACUAUGACACCCUGACCGCAAGAUUCAUCAGUAAUCAAUCACGAUUGUAUCAAACAUGGACAAUUGCUGGGUUUCUGGCAUCAAAGUUGCUACCGGAGAAUCCAGAAAUGGCAUCCAUAUUCACAUUUGAGGAAGAUAUGGAACUACUGGAAGGCUGUGCCUACAGUCCGACAAAUCAUCCUCGUGCCAAAUGCUCAUGACGCGUUCCAAAAGCGUAGGUCCUCGUAUAACUUGUUGAAGAUACGCAACCAUUCUUUGAUGCUUGUACUAUAUAUAAAAAAAAGGAAAACCAUAGAUGGAAGAGGGAUCCACCUCCACACAACAUUGUUUCCUCAUUGAGGUAUGCUCUUUUUUUUGUUGAGCUACCAUGAUGGUGACUGUGUAUCAGUGAUGUGUAAAAGAUUUGGCCUUUGUAACAAAAAAUAUGUAUGUUUUGAUGACACAUUGAUUCAUAUAACUUUUUUUUUUAUGUUCAUGUUGAUCCAUAUUUUGUAUAGAAAGGAAUUUUUGUAAUUAACACCCAG
Molecule: long non-coding RNA, 1735 nt
Organism: Zingiber officinale
Lineage: Eukaryota; Viridiplantae; Streptophyta; Magnoliopsida; Zingiberales; Zingiberaceae
Exons: 4
Source: RefSeq, a predicted model, not a curated record